Molecule: long non-coding RNA, 551 nt
Organism: Clarias gariepinus (North African catfish)
Lineage: Eukaryota; Metazoa; Chordata; Actinopteri; Siluriformes; Clariidae
Exons: 3
Source: RefSeq, a predicted model, not a curated record
ACUUGUCUUGCAGGUCAGCACUGCCCCCUUGAAGGAUCCACUGUUUCUUCACGCACGUUUAAGAAUGAAGGAGAAGAGAGCGGCGCUCCGCUGUCUGACAGGGUGUAUGGAUGGGUGUCUGUGGGUGAAGUCAGCAGAGGAACAGAGCCGGAACACGAGAGUCAGCAGGAAUCAAGACCCCGUUUACAUGGCGACGGCAGAUGGGCGGUGCUUCCGGCCUGGGUGCUGGUCCGCGAUCGGUCUGUCACGUGAUUAUCCUGUUAAGUCAUAAAACGAUGCAUGGAGUGAAUCCUCUUGCUCAUCCAGUUACAGUUACUUAAAUGAUGCAGAUUGUGCUAUUCCUUCUGUUGUGUGGUAUUAAUAUUAGAAGUAGAAGUUCUGGUAGUAGCAGCAGCAAAGGGUCGAAUAUCAAUUUUAUUUUAAUUACUUUUGAGUAUCGCUGUUCCAUUUGAGACUCUUUUUAUUUAGGCUCGGUCCUAAUUUAUAAUCCCUGAUCUAACCCUAAAUCCACACUUUUAGUCUGUUUUCCAAAAUUAUUUGUGCAAAAUCAG